RNAcentral lists this ribosomal RNA (258 nucleotides) under Triticum aestivum (bread wheat). Its description in RNAcentral is "partial small subunit ribosomal RNA". Lineage: Eukaryota; Viridiplantae; Streptophyta; Magnoliopsida; Poales; Poaceae. The record is from RNAcentral.
CGGCGGAGCGGCGCUCUGGUCAGGUUCCUCUGCUUCGAGGGCGACGCGUGGGCUGAUGUCGAGGGCGAGGCGGUUGUGCCUCUGCGCCGGGCGUUCCUGGACGGGAGGGUGGUCGCAGAGGCCGUGUAUGGUGGCAGGGAGUUCCUGUUCGACUUCCUGUGGAUGGUGCGCAUCGACGCUGGCACCGCCGAGGUGGUCGCCAUGGGCUGGAUUGACCGCGGGGCCUGCUUCUUCCCUGUGCCUUCACAGAUGAUUUGA